RNAcentral lists this ribosomal RNA (247 nucleotides) under Klebsiella pneumoniae. RNAcentral's name for it is "partial 23S ribosomal RNA". It matches the Rfam family "Bacterial large subunit ribosomal RNA", at positions 1271 to 1525 of the family's 2925-position model. The record is from RNAcentral. Lineage: Bacteria; Pseudomonadati; Pseudomonadota; Gammaproteobacteria; Enterobacterales; Enterobacteriaceae.
UGCUGGAGGUAUCAGAAGUGCGAAUGCUGACAUAAGUAACGAUAAAGCGGGUGAAAGCCCGCUCGCCGGAAGACCAAGGGUUCCUGUCCAACGUUAAUCGGGCAGGUGAGUCGACCCCUAAGGCGAGGCCGAAAGGCGUAGUCGAUGGGAAACAGGUUAAUAUUCCUGUACUUGGUGUUACUGCGAAGGGGGGACGGAGAAGGCUAUGUUAGCCGGGCGACGGUUGUCCCGGUUUAAGCAUGUAGGC